AGAACGAACGCUGGCGACAGGCCUCAAACAUGCAAGUCUAGGGGGUGUAGCAAUACAUCACCGGCGGACGGGUGCGUAACACGUGGGAAUAUACCUUUUGGUUCGGAACAACGCAGGGAAACUUGCGCUAAUACCGAAUGUGCCCUUACGGGGAAAGAUUUAUCGCCAAAGGAUUAGCCCGCGUAGGAUUAGCUAGUUGGUGAGGUAAUGGCUCACCAAGGCUCCGAUCCUUAGCUGUUCUGAGAGGAAGAUCAGCCACACUGGGACUGAGACACGGCCCAGACUCCUACGGGAGGCAGCAGUUGGGAAUCUUGGACAAUGGGGGAAACCCUGAUCCAGCCAUGCCGCGUGAGUGAUGAAGGCCUUCGGGUUGUAAAACUCUUUCGACGGGGACAUAAUGACGGUACCCGUAGAAGAAGCUCCGGCUAACUUCGUGCCAGCAGCCGC
RNAcentral lists this ribosomal RNA (447 nucleotides) under uncultured bacterium. Its description in RNAcentral is "SSU rRNA". It matches the Rfam family "Bacterial small subunit ribosomal RNA", at positions 26 to 518 of the family's 1533-position model. The record is from RNAcentral.